UGAAGAAUUUGUCCAACGGUGGGGGAUAGCCGGCCCAACGGCCGGGUAAUACCGCGUACGACCACAUGGGGACAUCCCUGAGUGGUGAAAGCAGCAAUGCGCCGAUGGAGUGCCUCGCGGCCUAUCAGCUAGUUGGUGGGGUAACGGCCUACCAAGGCAACGACGGGUAGCUGGU
Molecule: ribosomal RNA, 175 nt
Filed under: uncultured bacterium
Lineage: Bacteria
Description: partial 16S ribosomal RNA
Rfam family: Bacterial small subunit ribosomal RNA
Source: RNAcentral